UCCUGAGAAAUGUGUCAUUAGGUGGUUU
This 28-nucleotide non-coding RNA is filed under the name Homo sapiens (human). The record is from RNAcentral. Lineage: Eukaryota; Metazoa; Chordata; Mammalia; Primates; Hominidae.